RNAcentral lists this ribosomal RNA (469 nucleotides) under uncultured bacterium. Its description in RNAcentral is "partial 16S ribosomal RNA". It matches the Rfam family "Bacterial small subunit ribosomal RNA", at positions 28 to 507 of the family's 1533-position model. The record is from RNAcentral.
GACGAACGCUGGCGGCGUGCUUAACACAUGCAAGUCGAACGGAAAGGCCCUGCUUGCAGGGUGCUCGAGUGGCGAACGGGUGAGUAACACGUGGGUGAUCUGCCCCUUACUUUGGGAUAAGCCUGGGAAACUGGGUCUAAUACUGGAUAGGACCAUGCUGUAGGUGGUGUGGUGGAAAGAUUAGUUUCGGUAAGGGAUGAGCUCGCGGCCUAUCAGCUUGUUGGUGGGGUAAUGGCCUACCAAGGCGUCGACGGGUAGCCGGCCUGAGAGGGUGGACGGCGACAUUGGGACUGAGAUACGGCCGAGACUCCUACGGGAGGCAGCAGUGGGGAAGAUUGCACAAUGGGCGCAAGCCUGAUGCAGCGACGCCGCGUGGGGGAUGACGGCCUUCGGGUUGUAAACUCCUUUCAGCCAUGACGAAGCCCUUGUGGUGACGGUAGUGGUAGAAGAAGCACCGGCUAACUACGUG